AUUGAACGCUGGCGGCAUGCCUAACACAUGCAAGUCGAACGGCGGCACGGGUGCUGGUAGCUGGUGUCGAGGGGCGAACGUGUGAGUAAUACAUCGGAACAUGUCCUGAAUUUGGGGUUAGCCCGGCGAAAUCGGGAUUAAUACCGCUAACGAUCUACGCCUCAAAGUGGGGGACCUUCGGGCUUCUCGCUUUUGGGUGGGCCUAUGGCUGAUUAGCUUGUUGGUGGGGUAAAGGCCUACCAAGGCGACGAUGAGUAGCCGGGCUGAGAGGACGACCAGCGACUGUGGGGGUGAGACACGACACAGGCACCUACGGGAGGCAGAAGCGGGGAAGUUAGGAAAAAGGGGGAAAGACUGAACAAUGAACGCAGCGCGUGUGAAGCAGCCCUGCGGGUUGUAAAGCAGUCUUGUGCGGAAAGAACUCCUUCGCCAUAAAACGGGCGGGGGAUGCCGGAACCGCAAGAAUAAGCACGGGCUAAUUACGU
RNAcentral lists this ribosomal RNA (485 nucleotides) under uncultured bacterium. RNAcentral's name for it is "partial 16S ribosomal RNA". It matches the Rfam family "Bacterial small subunit ribosomal RNA", at positions 29 to 506 of the family's 1533-position model. The record is from RNAcentral.